UUUUAUAUAGUUUAAUCAAAACAUUAUAUUUUCAAUAUAAAAUUAUAUUUAUUUAUUAUUAUUA
Molecule: transfer RNA, 64 nt
Filed under: Ismarus sp. ZJUH_2016020
Lineage: Eukaryota; Metazoa; Arthropoda; Insecta; Hymenoptera; Diapriidae
Description: tRNA-Glu
Source: RNAcentral